This 313-nucleotide ribosomal RNA is filed under the name uncultured ammonia-oxidizing beta proteobacterium. RNAcentral describes it as "bacterial SSU rRNA". It matches the Rfam family "Bacterial small subunit ribosomal RNA", at positions 198 to 497 of the family's 1533-position model. The record is from RNAcentral. Lineage: Bacteria; Pseudomonadati; Pseudomonadota; Betaproteobacteria.
AAAGUAGGGGAUCGCAAGACCUUCCGCUUUUGGAGUGGCAGAUGCCUGAUUAGCUAGUUGGUGGGGUAACGGCCUACCAAGGCGACGAUCAGUAGUUGGUCUGAGAGGACGACCAGCCACACUGGGACUGAGACACGGCCCAGACUCCUACGGGAGGCAGCAGUGGGGAAUUUUGGACAAUGGGCGAAAGCCUGAUCCAGCUAUGCCGCGUGAGUGAAGAAGGCCUUCGGGUUGUAAAGCUCUUUCAGUCGAUAAGAAAAUGUCGCCAGCAAUAAUCGUUACUCAUGACGCUAUCCACAGAACAAGCACCGGC